Molecule: long non-coding RNA, 1053 nt
Filed under: Homo sapiens (human)
Lineage: Eukaryota; Metazoa; Chordata; Mammalia; Primates; Hominidae
Description: HSALNT0357572
Source: RNAcentral
GACUGAGAGCCUGCAACGCACAUGUGCCCCUGCAGGGUGGCAUAGACGGCGAGCCCAGGGAGGCCACUGACAUGCAUUCAAGAGAAAAGAAAAGAAGCCAGGCUUUGGUCAGUUGUGAAUAUACCAUCUCCUGACUCCCAAGCAUUGGUUCAUCAUCCAGCUGGCAAUUGUUGAGCCUCAGCCAAUGGCAUAAGUGCUUCAUGGUGGAGUGAGAAUGGCUUGCCCUGGAAGGGUCAUGUUUUAGAAGGAGUGAUCUUCAUUGUGAAGUCUAAACUGUUCUGGAAAUAUAAGCUUUGAAACCCAGUACUGAAUUCUCACAGGAAGUCUCAGACGAAGACACUGCUAACUCCACUUUCAGAGAGAAACACUGAGGCUCAGAGCUAAACUAACUCGCCUCAGAGCCCACAUCCUGGACUUGAGCCUCAGGGUGUUGCAUGCCAAAGCCUGUCCUCUUCACCCCAGCUUCCUGGGCAUUGGAGCGGAUCCAUAGUGUUAGAUAUGCAGUGGGAAUGGCCCCCAUUCCAAGCCACUUCCUGACCUGAUGGCAGCACCCUGCUAGUCCUCACAUGGAGCCCUGGAGAAGCCGGGUUCCUUAACCCAGAUUUGAAUCAAUAGCCUCACACCUGGUAUGCACAUCCAGGCCAAGUGUGGCUGAAUGGGGAGCAUCUGUUCUGGAGACGGCCACCCUCAUGGGCUCCUCUGCUUCCUGUCCCUUCGGGCACUGAUUUAUGGCACACAGCAGGGAAGGGCCUGAGCUUGAGCCCUGACCAUCGUUAUCAUCACCAUCUUCAUUCCAGUGCAGUGAAGAACAUUCUGAAGGUAGAGAUGAAGGUCUUCUUUCUGAAUGAAGCUCCUUGCAUGAUUCAGGGAUCUUCCUCUUGAAGGCACCAAUCAUUUUGACUUUAAUGCAUGCACUCUGACUUACUUGUGGUGAUCUCUCCUGGAAAUACAUGGAAAAAUGAAAAAUAGGCUAACUGGGGAGAUUUCUUAAAUACCAGUUUGUAUGGCUGUGUUAACCUGAAUGAUUAAAUAUAGGAUUGUUUUUUAAGUUAC